RNAcentral lists this ribosomal RNA (207 nucleotides) under uncultured bacterium. RNAcentral's name for it is "partial 16S ribosomal RNA". It matches the Rfam family "Bacterial small subunit ribosomal RNA", at positions 1294 to 1500 of the family's 1533-position model. The record is from RNAcentral.
CGGAUUGUAGUCUGCAACCCGACUACAUGAAGCCGGAAUCGCUAGUAAUCGCGGAUCAGAAUGCCGCGGUGAAUACGUUCCCGGGUCUUGUACACACCGCCCGUCACACCAUGGGAGUCGGAAAUGCCCGAAGUCUGUGACCCAACCGCAAGGAGGGAGCAGCCGAAGGCAGGUCGGAUGACUGGGGUGAAGUCGUAACAAGGUAGC